UACGAAGGGGGCUAGCGUUGUUCGGAAUUACUGGGCGUAAAGGGCGCGUAGGCGGCUUGGUCAGUCAGGCGUGAAAUCCCCGGGCUCAACCUGGGAACUGCGCUUGAUACUGCCAAGCUUGAGACCGGGAGAGGAUGGCGGAAUACCCAGUGUAGAGGUGAAAUUCGUAGAUAUUGGGUAGAACACCAGUGGCGAAGGCGGCCAUCUGGACCGGAUCUGACGCUGAGGCGCGAAAGCGUGGGGAGCAAACAGG
This 253-nucleotide ribosomal RNA is filed under the name uncultured bacterium. RNAcentral describes it as "partial 16S ribosomal RNA". It matches the Rfam family "Bacterial small subunit ribosomal RNA", at positions 524 to 776 of the family's 1533-position model. The record is from RNAcentral.